Podarcis muralis (Common wall lizard) is the source of this 1263-nucleotide non-coding RNA. The record is from RefSeq and is a predicted model, not a curated record. NCBI's taxonomy places the organism in Eukaryota, Metazoa, Chordata, Lepidosauria, Squamata, Lacertidae.
UAUCGGAAAGCAGGGUGAAGCAAGACAGCGGCAAAUAACCAAAACAAGAUCGUUCACUUGGAAGAGCUGGAGGGCUUUGCUGAGGAUCUGUCACCUCUAUCAAGGGAGAACUAUUGCCUGCUCUGAAUGAAUCGUUAUUACAGGACAUAACGCAGCAUUAGCCAGAAGAGGCACUGGUUUUUAUCCAUUCUGAACUGGAAGCUUCAAGUUGUUUUUUUCUCUCCAAUCAAGCUACCAGAGAAAAUCUAGACACAGUUGGAGUUUGUAGGACAAAAAUUUAUACAUCUGAAAACAGCAACUCUUGAGAACACCAUCUCAGAUACUUAAAAGGACUCAUCUGCAGCACCUGACUUUGACAUGACAUUUUCAACUUCUGCACUAAUUCCCAUGUGACUGGAGAAGGAAUAGAUGCAAGCAAUUGGGGGACGGACGGACAGACAGCCCACUGAACACCAACCUGCUGUGCGGUUUGAAAAGAAGUCACCAGAAAACAUGAAGGCCCCUGUAUGCUAACUGGAAGAGAAAGGCUGUGCUUUCCCCUGCAUAACCAACAAGCUGGAAACAGAAAAUUAAAAUGAAACAAGUCAUGGUUUAGAUCUCUUGGAGCUGCACAGAUUUACAAAGCACACAAUCUUCCUAUCCCAACAUUAGGGACGUCGGAGAAUUCUGCUGGAAAUGGGAAAGGAAACUGCCACCAUCUUCAUGUUCUUCUGAGGUCAGUGGAAACCGUGUGAGGAUGCUUAUUGGGCUUGAUGUUUCCGGCUCAGAGAUGAUCAAAAAGGCCAGACUGGAAGCCCUGGCACAGCCUGUAGGGUCUUCCCUGCUGGGCUUGCCACAAGUCACAGUGGAUCUCCAGAAGGCAAAGGAAAUUGGAUUGAGGCCCAUCCAAACAGAAGACAAGAGAGGAUUCAUCUUGCAAUGUUAAACUGAAGAUUAGAAAGAGACCAUUGAAGAUCAAGAGGACAGGGACCCACAGUACAGGUUGUCAGAGCAAAAACAUGAAGGUUAGCAUUCUAAUUGGUGGCCUAACCAACACACAUCCUGGGAAUUGUGAAGGAGGGCCUGACAGAGGCAAAGAUUCACAAGACCAUCAAGGCUAGAUGGAUGCUUCUGAGCAGCUCACAACCAGGCCAUAAAAACAAUAGUCCUUCGCUGUUGUUUAUCCCUUAGUAAUUAGAAUUCAGAGGAAUACAGUGGUACCUCAGGUUACAUACGCUUCAGGUUACAUACACUUCAGGUUACAGACUCCGCUAACCCAGAAAU